CCCAUGAGUAAGCAUAUUUUAUAAAUUAUUGUUGUUACAAUUUUUUACUAAAAAGCCUCUGCCACUAAUUUUAAAAAUGAAUGCACUGGGUUCUUAAGGUGGUUUAUAAAGCAUUAUGCAUCACUUCCCUAUGAAAUAUUUUGUGAUAUGUUCACCCUUCAGCAAUGCACACAAUACACACUCAUACAUAUACACACAGGAAUGCAAGCUCCUAGAAGACAACAAUUGUGUCAGUUUUAUCUUUGUAUCUCUAGUCCCAAAUAUAUUACAUUGUAUGUUGUAGGCAUAUGAUAAACAUUUUUUUUAAUCAAACUGAAUUUCAAUGAGUCAAACUCUUCAACAACAGAGUGAUUUCCUGGUGCUUCUUGUUACUAAACUGUUCCCACUCCUGUAGCUACAUCCAAAGCUGGAAUCCUAAAGAAUUUUGGCAAACUAGUUAAAAUAUAGGAGAUAAUAUAUUGUUACCAUCUGAGUUCCUACAAAUUUAAAGAAAUGAGCAAAAGUUGAUGACAGACCCAGAAAUAAUAACACUAGCAUCUUCUGCAGUGGAUUUUUUUCUAGUAUGCUUAACUGAGCCACCCAUGAAGGCCAAAGCUAUUAUUUUGGAACUUGGAGUGUUCAAAUUGUCAAUUAUCUCUUAGCUACUUCAUGUCAAACCCUGGCCUCGGUUUUGUCAUAGUAACAAAAAAGUAGAAAGAAUAAGUCAAAGAGCAUCACUAGUACCAGGGCUUCAAAACCAGAAAGUCUACAUAUUUCUAAUUUAUUUUGAAUUCUGGAUCUAGACUAGGGACUAAAUUGACAGAUUCACUCUACAGACCCUAGAAAUGAAGCUAAAAAAAGUGAAGCAAAAAUGAAACAAACAAAAAAGCUUCCUUCUGAGAUAUCUUUCCCUAGUUUUCACUGUUCAGUUGACAGUUCCAUAGGUAAAGUAAUUAUGACUUUUAGUGUUUUUGUUCCCUUCCCUUUUAUUUUCUUUCACCCUCUUCCUCCUCCUCUUCCUUCUCUUCUUCUUCUUCUUCUUUGUUUCUUUCCUUCUUUCUUUUCUUGCUUGUAUUUAUUUUUUUUAUUAAUUUAUUUAGUCAAUUUAGAACAUCGUUCCUUGGUUACAAGAAUCAUAUUCUAUCCUACCCUACCCUCUCCCCACCCUUCCCAUAGUCAACAGGCACAAUUUCACUGGGUAUUACAUGUGUCCUUGAUCAGAACCUAUUUCCAUGUUUUUGAUGUUUGCAUUAGGAUGUUCCUUUAG
RNAcentral lists this long non-coding RNA (1246 nucleotides) under Monodelphis domestica (gray short-tailed opossum). RNAcentral's name for it is "lncRNA (ENSMODG00000042996.1)". Lineage: Eukaryota; Metazoa; Chordata; Mammalia; Didelphimorphia; Didelphidae. The record is from RNAcentral.